CUCCCGCGGGAGUUACUUGAACGCUCAGGCGGUAAUUCCAACUUGGGGGCUCAGCUGCGGGCUAACCCGAUCCUGAGGGGACUUUGUAGACUUGACGUUCCGUCGGGCCCCUGCACCCCGGAGCGGACGAGGCUUGUCCCGGCCAGGUCCCGCCGCCAUGGGGGCGGAGAAAGAGCCGCUGCCGGUUAAGGAGGCCUUCCAGCGGACGCAGCGGCCGCACCAGAACAAGAUCACCGGCGCUGAGCCGCGCCUACCGCACGGAUUGAGGCAUAUAGCAAUGAAGUUCAGUGUUUGUUGUGCCAGAUUCUAAAUAAGUUCUUGGGAAAUAUGCUGGGAAAAGGCCAGAUUGAUAAUAUUUUGUGCAUAAAAUGGAUGAAGCUCUUCUUAUUAGACUAAAAGUUAAAAAUCCAAAUGUGAGGAUACAGGUAGACGCGGCUCUUUAAAGACUUAAGACCUAUGGGUAAUGAUUGCCCCAAGGUUAAAGGGAGAGAGAGAGAGCACACACAAGCAAGGGGAACUG
Neogale vison (American mink) is the source of this 520-nucleotide long non-coding RNA. RefSeq lists it as uncharacterized. The transcript is spliced from 3 exons. NCBI's taxonomy places the organism in Eukaryota, Metazoa, Chordata, Mammalia, Carnivora, Mustelidae. The record is from RefSeq and is a predicted model, not a curated record.